Long non-coding RNA from Bos taurus (domestic cattle), 483 nucleotides. Lineage: Eukaryota; Metazoa; Chordata; Mammalia; Artiodactyla; Bovidae. The record is from Ensembl.
GCCCGGUAGCGGUCCGCUGAGCCGGAUCCGGGGAGUUCGUACUGGAGCGCCAUAUAGUCAGGGCUUCCGGUUAGGAAGCAGAGCAUCACACACAAGCGGACUCGGUCCGGUACGGCCCACGCGUCGCCAUCCCGCCGGGCAGCACGUUCGCAGCCCGGGGAUCGCGAGUCCCGCGACCUCCGAGCGAUCCUGUCCACCUGCGGGCCGGCCCCGCUGCUGAGAACAUGCUGCUACUACUGCUAAGUCGAUUCAGUCAUGUCCGAUUCUGUGCGACACCAUAGACGGCAGCGCACCAGGCUCUGCCGUCCCUGGGAUUCUCCAGGUCUUGGUUGCAGCAUGCAGGAUCUUUGAACACCAUUGUGGCUUGCAAGAUCUUUAAUUGCAGCGUGAGAACACUUACAGGCAGCAUGUGGGAUCUAGUUCCCUGACCAAGGCCACCUGCAUUGGAAGCAUGGAGUUCUAGUCAUAGGAUCACCAGGGAAG